Molecule: long non-coding RNA, 512 nt
Filed under: Setaria viridis
Lineage: Eukaryota; Viridiplantae; Streptophyta; Magnoliopsida; Poales; Poaceae
Description: long non-coding RNA (SVIR_LNC002432)
Source: RNAcentral
GCAAUCAUAAUUACCAUUUAGUAACAUUCCUUUGAUACAUUAGGCCGAUCGGAUCCAUACCAAAUACACGGUACAUAACACGCUCCAGUACAGUACAAUACACGUACACAGCUGUCGUUUUCGUACGUACACGCUUUAACAGCUCAAGGUCACAGCCGCGCGCAUCGGUAUUACCGCCACGCAGCACCUCUUUGUCUAUAGCUAAACACCAAGCACCGUCGUGCUUUACCACGACCACCACGUACGGGACGCGAAGAGCACCGGCCAGCGAGCACACGGACGCCGAGGUAGACGGAGCCCCCCGCUCGAUCCGGCGGCGGCGGGCGCGCUCACGACAGGUCCUGGCACCCGGCGAGCGGGGUCCCGUGGUGGCACUCGUUGUGCGCGUACGGUUUGCACCCGUGCUUGAUCACGCCGUGACCCCUGGGGAGCGGCCCGCACAGGUUGUUGUAGCUGAGGUCCAGCUUCUGCAGCGUGGAGAGGCGCUCCAGCGACGCCGGCACGGUGCCCCG